CCUACGGGAGGCAGCAGUGGGGAAUAUUGCGCAAUGGGCGAAAGCCUGACGCAGCGACGCCGCGUGAGGGAUGAAGGUCUUCGGAUCGUAAACCUCUGUUAGUAGGGAAGAACGGUCACUGUGCUAAUCAGCAGUGAAUUGACGGUACCUGCAAAGGAAGCACCGGCUAACUCCGUGCCAGCAGCCGCGGUAAUACGGAGGGUGCGAGCGUUAAUCGGAAUGACUGGGCGUAAAGCGAUCGUAGGCGGGAUGUCAAGUCAAGGGUGAAAUCCCCGGGCUCAACGUUAGAACUGCAUUUGAAACUGGCAAACUAGAGUGUGGGAGAGGUUGGUGGAAUUCGUGGUGUAGGGGUGAAAUCCGUAGAGAUCAGGAAGAACAUCGAUGGCGAAGGCGACUUUCUGGCACAUAACUGACGCUGAGGAGCGAAAGCGUGGGUAGCAAACAGGAUUAGAUACCCUGGUAGUC
RNAcentral lists this ribosomal RNA (465 nucleotides) under uncultured bacterium. RNAcentral describes it as "partial 16S ribosomal RNA". It matches the Rfam family "Bacterial small subunit ribosomal RNA", at positions 338 to 795 of the family's 1533-position model. The record is from RNAcentral.